This 621-nucleotide long non-coding RNA is filed under the name Olea europaea subsp. europaea. The record is from RNAcentral. Lineage: Eukaryota; Viridiplantae; Streptophyta; Magnoliopsida; Lamiales; Oleaceae.
CUUCUCUUCACCAUAGGUAUCAAGUUAACGAUUUCCAUCAUCAUUGAAUUUAGAGCUGAAAUGAAAAUGAAAAUGAAAAAAUUUCCUCCAAAACAAUACGGAAGAAAUGAAAAUCUUCUUUGGAAUAUCUAAAAUAAGCAUUCUACUACACCAUUACACGUAUCAGUGCUUAAAAGUUAAUUAAUAAUCUAACGAACAUGAAAUUUUAUCAGUGAAAUAGUAACUUUGAAAAUCAUGUAUAACUAAAAAAGUAAGUUUAGCUUACAUUCAAAUGCAAAUAAAGGUGUGAAAAUCCCUCGUCGUCGUCGUCUUCUUCUUCUUCUUCUUCUUCAUCAUCAUCAGUAAAAUUACAAUAUUCCUUGCUAAUUAGUUCAAGUAUAGAUUGAGGAAAGAAUGAAAUCCAGCAUCCCGGCAGCAAAUCUGAAGAGCUGAUGCCUCAGAGAAACUGCCCAUAGCCCUAUAAUUGCCAUCCCUAUGAGUGCGAUGAAGCUCAUUUCUUUUCUCUAUCUUCUUUUGUUAUGCACCAUCUUCAAACUCUGCCUAGCUAGCUGCCCCAACCACCACUUAAUUAUUAACUUAUUAGUCAAUCGGUUAGGCUUUUCAUGUACCUUAGAAUCCAUU